GACGAACGCUGGCGGCGUGCUUAACACAUGCAAGUCGAACGGAAAGGCCCUGCUUUUGUGGGGUGCUCGAGUGGCGAACGGGUGAGUAACACGUGAGUAACCUGCCCUUGACUUUGGGAUAACUUCAGGAAACUGGGGCUAAUACCGGAUAGGAGCUCCUGCUGCAUGGUGGGGGUUGGAAAGUUUCGGCGGUUGGGGAUGGACUCGCGGCUUAUCAGCUUGUUGGUGGGGUAGUGGCUUACCAAGGCUUUGACGGGUAGCCGGCCUGAGAGGGUGACCGGCCACAGGGGGACGGAGAGACGGCCCAGACUCCUACGGGAGGCAGCAGUGGGGAAUAGUGCGCAAUGGGCGGAAGCCUGAUGAAGCAACGCCGCGUGAGGGAUGACGGCCUUCGGGGUGUAAACCGCUUUCGCGUGUGACGAAGCGUGAGUGACGGGAAUGGGUAAAGAAGCACCGGCUAACUACG
This 466-nucleotide ribosomal RNA is filed under the name uncultured bacterium. Its description in RNAcentral is "partial 16S ribosomal RNA". It matches the Rfam family "Bacterial small subunit ribosomal RNA", at positions 28 to 505 of the family's 1533-position model. The record is from RNAcentral.